GCCCCAGUGGCGCAAUUGGUUAGCGCACGGUACUUAUAGACAGUGGUCGUGUGAGCUAUGCCGGGGUUGUGAGUUCGAGCCUCACCUGGGGCA
RNAcentral lists this non-coding RNA (93 nucleotides) under Cimex lectularius (bed bug). Its description in RNAcentral is "tRNA". It matches the Rfam family "tRNA". From Rfam's summary of the family: Transfer RNA (tRNA) molecules are approximately 80 nucleotides in length. Lineage: Eukaryota; Metazoa; Arthropoda; Insecta; Hemiptera; Cimicidae. The record is from Rfam by way of RNAcentral.